Long non-coding RNA from Hibiscus syriacus, 153 nucleotides. RefSeq lists it as uncharacterized. The transcript has 3 exons. The record is from RefSeq and is a predicted model, not a curated record. NCBI's taxonomy places the organism in Eukaryota, Viridiplantae, Streptophyta, Magnoliopsida, Malvales, Malvaceae.
AACCCCAUUACCUUCAAGUAAUAGUGCCGGCACUCCCAAGAUCAUGGUUGCAAAAGGUGCCAUGUAGUACACAGUAUUUAUGCUAUAAGAGUACGGUCCAAAAUAUGUUGUCGAGCAAUGUCAGAAAACUCGUGAAUUCAGAACUUGAGAAAC